This 117-nucleotide small nuclear RNA is filed under the name Bemisia tabaci. Its description in RNAcentral is "U5 spliceosomal RNA". It matches the Rfam family "U5 spliceosomal RNA". From Rfam's summary of the family: U5 RNA is a component of both types of known spliceosome. The precise function of this molecule is unknown, though it is known that the 5' loop is required for splice site selection and p220 binding, and that both the 3' stem-loop and the Sm site are important for Sm protein binding and cap methylation. The record is from RNAcentral. Lineage: Eukaryota; Metazoa; Arthropoda; Insecta; Hemiptera; Aleyrodidae.
AACUCUUGACUCUCUCUUCAAACCGCAUACAUCUUUCGCCUUUUAGUACAGAUUUCCGUGGAGAGAGUCAAUUACAGAGUCAUAAGGAUGUAUGGUUUAAAAGACUAAUCCCAUAUA